CUCUACCUGAACCCUAAAUCUACCCCUAAUCCUUCCCUAACCCUCAGUACUCCUUAGUCCUACACCUAAACAUAAGUAUCCCUUAACCCUAUGUCUAACCCCUACCCUAACCCUAAGAACCCUUAAUGCUACCCCUCACUCUACCCUAACCUGAAAUCCCCCUGCCUUUGCCCAUGGUAUCAUCUUACACCUUCUCUAGCACUGUGUACUCCUAACAAAAGACAUGUUGCUAUAAAGAGUACCGUAUUGAAUACAAUGUUAUUAGUGCCAUUCAUUAAUGAUCAACAUUUG
Molecule: non-coding RNA, 291 nt
Organism: Pelobates cultripes (western spadefoot toad)
Lineage: Eukaryota; Metazoa; Chordata; Amphibia; Anura; Pelobatidae
Source: the annotation of a GenBank genome assembly